CCACUCCUUUCAGCUCAUGCUAAAGCGGGAGUUGACUCCUCCCACACUAAGGAAACAGGAGGGGAGGGGUCAGCUGAGCCCCUGUGCAGCGGAGUACAGAGGGAGAGAGACGAAAAGAACAAGUCCUGCUGAAGACGUGACUGACAUUGUUUAAUGGUUUUGCAUAUAAAUACCAUCAGAGUAAAAAGGUUCAGUUGGCAUCCUGAUAACAAACCUGAGCAAGGCCACAGGACCACAUUUGUUAUUUUUUUUUUUUAUUGAAAAGUGACUUUUUGUAUUAAGUUACAGUAUGUUUGCACAAUAAAUAUAAGGUGUUUUUUUUAAA
Molecule: long non-coding RNA, 325 nt
Organism: Austrofundulus limnaeus
Lineage: Eukaryota; Metazoa; Chordata; Actinopteri; Cyprinodontiformes; Rivulidae
Exons: 3
Source: RefSeq, a predicted model, not a curated record